UCCCAGACAACUAUAUCACAUGCGAGUCCUCUCGAAUAAGCACGCGAAGCCAAAGAGGCUGCACCCAUUCUGACCCCAUCCUCUCUAAAUACUUUUCCGCUCACUCCUUGAACCUCCCACGAGGAGGCGCUCGAAAUCACGGUGACGUCAUGCUGCUGCAUCACGUGAACGUGCUGAAGAUGGCGAAGGGUGCUCCAUUGGGCGGUGUUACGUUUCUCCGCUUCCGGAUCCUAACUUCCGCUUUGCGUCGGCGAGGGGUCUGGUUGCCUGGAGCGCUCAGGUCUAGUCCCGGGGUUGCACGUCAGACGGACCUACCGUAAGCCAGCUCUAGACUCCGACCCGUCAGUUCUUUGUUCCCUGUAAAAACACAACCGAACCGUCAACAUGGCAGAU
This is a long non-coding RNA of Ornithodoros turicata, 393 nucleotides long. RefSeq lists it as uncharacterized. The record is from RefSeq and is a predicted model, not a curated record. The transcript has 2 exons. Lineage: Eukaryota; Metazoa; Arthropoda; Arachnida; Ixodida; Argasidae.